This 491-nucleotide ribosomal RNA is filed under the name uncultured bacterium. RNAcentral's name for it is "partial 16S ribosomal RNA". It matches the Rfam family "Bacterial small subunit ribosomal RNA", at positions 29 to 506 of the family's 1533-position model. The record is from RNAcentral.
AGUGAACGCUGGCGGUAGGCCUAACACAUGCAAGUCGAACGGCAGCACAGUAAGAGCUUGCUCUUACGGGUGGCGAGUGGCGGACGGGUGAGGAAUACAUCGGAAUCUACUUUUUCGUGGGGGAUAACGUAGGGAAACUUACGCUAAUACCGCAUACGACCUACGGGUGAAAGCAGGGGAUCUUCGGACCUUGCGCGAUUGAAUGAGCCGAUGUCGGAUUAGCUAGUUGGCGGGGUAAAGGCCCACCAAGGCGACGAUCCGUAGCUGGUCUGAGAGGAUGACCGGCACACCUGGAAUGAGGCAACGGUCAAGCCUCCAACGGGAGGAGGAAGUGGGAAAUAUUGGCAAAGGGGCGCAACCCUGAUCCAGCCAAACCGCGUGGGUGAAGAAGGCUUUCGGGUUGUAAAGCCCUUUUGUUGGGAAAGAAAAGCGGCAGGUUAAUACCCCGCUGUUCUGAGGGUACCAAAAGAAUAGGCACCGGUUAACUUCGG